AACCCGUGCGGCCCAGGACGCCCGCAGCAAAUACGGCCAAGUAGAGGCGAAAUCCGCUGGUCCAGGAGAGUCCGGCUGCCAGCGCGGCGGUUUCCAGCAUGAGGUUCCUUGGGAGCGAAGAAGGGGCGUGCGAACGAUCAAUCGAUAUUGCAGUGUAGUGCGCGCUCGCCUGCGCCGCGGCCUAAAGCAGCGUGCCCUGCGACAGGAUCUUGUCGCAAGCCUGCCGGGUGAUCUGCGAUCUGAGGCUGCCCAGGUCGAAUGUGUUGCCGUCUGAGCCGGUCAGGAUGCCAUUUGUGCCC
Molecule: unclassified non-coding RNA, 299 nt
Filed under: air metagenome
Description: partial internal transcribed spacer 1
Source: RNAcentral